UUUUUUAAAAGAUGAUUUUUUUUAUUAUUUUUUUAACUUUUUUUUUUGGAUGAAAAUCAAGAUGAAUACCCCCAAACCUAAACCUAACAUUGUCCUCAAUGUUAAGAAAUAAUCUAAGAGAAUUGGGUUGCCUCCCAACAAGCGCUAAGUUUAUUGUCUUCAGCCAGACACAGUGGGUCCUUAAUUAUUUUGAUAAACAGGGUUCGUUAAAUUAAGAGAUUCGAUCAAUUGCCCGUCGGCAACACAGUCUACAUAAGGUUUUAACCUUUGACCAUUGACUUUUAAAACAUGUCCACCAU
This 299-nucleotide long non-coding RNA is filed under the name Phoenix dactylifera (date palm). RNAcentral's name for it is "long non-coding RNA (PDAC_LNC010849)". Lineage: Eukaryota; Viridiplantae; Streptophyta; Magnoliopsida; Arecales; Arecaceae. The record is from RNAcentral.